UACGGGGGGGGCAAGCGUUGUUCGGAAUUACUGGGCGUAAAGGGCUCGUAGGUGGCCAACUAAGUCACACGUGAAAUCCCUCGGCUUAACCGGGGAACUGCGUGUGAUACUGGAUGGCUUGAGUUUGGGAGAGGGAUGCGGAAUUCCAGGUGUAGCGGUGAAAUGCGUAGAUAUCUGGAGGAACACCGGUGGCGAAGGCGGCAUCCUGGACCGACACUGACGCUGAGGAGCGAAAGCCAGGGGAGCAAACGGG
This 253-nucleotide ribosomal RNA is filed under the name uncultured bacterium. Its description in RNAcentral is "partial 16S ribosomal RNA". It matches the Rfam family "Bacterial small subunit ribosomal RNA", at positions 524 to 776 of the family's 1533-position model. The record is from RNAcentral.